CUAGAGGGCUUGAGUUAUGAGAAAACACACUUGUGCUAAAGCCACUAUAGGAUGGUAACUUUGGUGGAGUAUACAAAAAGUAUCAAAUUAAUUUUUUAUUUUUAUUUUUUACAUGUGCACAUAUGAGUAUUGAAUUGAGUAAAUUUAUGAACUUGAAUUUCGCAAAUGGUGUAAUUGGGCUUUUGAAAUGUAGCUUCUUUUCUGAUAGUGAGAGUUUAAGAAAACAGUCUCUGUUCUGCUUGUGGAAGUUGGAGGUUUAUUCCAAAUUGGAAGCUCAAAUCUUGUAAAUGUGGUAGAGUUUAAAAUUUUAUUAUUGGAGUAGUUAUUAUGAAUGAUAAAAAGGCCAUAUCUUCCAAUUUAAUGGUGCGCAAGUGUUUAAUUAGUUUGAGGAAAUAUUAACGUUGAUGAUUACCAGCUUUUUCAAUUGCUAAUGAAAACUAUGAGUCCAAUAUUCACAGCAUGUUGAAAGUGUGAGGAAAUCGAUGGAUGAUGGUAGGAUAAGAAAAAGUUUGUGAUCAAAUAUUAGUCAAGGAAUACAAGAUUAACUAAUAUCGGAUGGACAUAUACCGAAUUUGUAACUUAUAGAAAUGACAUAUACCGUAUAUGCAACUUAUCAAAUUGGAGCAUAUCGUAUAUGCAGCUUACUUUUUGCACCUUGCCGUACAUGCAGCUUAUCAUAUUUGCACCUUACGAUAAAUGCAAUUUAUUGUAUAUAUAGAUUACCGUAUAUGCACAUAUAAGUUUUGUACAUACCAUAUAUGCAAUGAACAAAAUAUUAGCCAAAAUAUACAGCAGAAUAAAUUACGAUAAACAAAACAAUUUAAUCUAAUUAGCCAAAAGCAAGUAAUAAAAAAAUUAAAUUUGAACCGAGACCUGUGUGAACAAAGUUUUCUUAAAACAAAUUCGUCCACUCACCGUAGGUACUUGAGGUUUAAUUCGAACAUCUGUUUCCGAGGAUACAACAGAUGAACAGUAGAAUUUGAGCACAUCAAAUACUAGUCGAGCAAAAAGAACUUGUGUCGGAACAAUAUCACCAAACAAAUUUCAAACAGACACGAGACUGUAUUUGUAUGAAAAUUUAUGCAGAAAUUGUGUGCUGUGUUGCUUCUCUUGUUUUUCUUCUUGUGUGGAAUAGUAGAAAUCGGGUUGCAUAUAUAGACUCAACACCAUAAAUGCCAUUAAUUCGUAUAUAAUGACAAUGAAUAUUGGAGGGUCGGUAGUUUUGAAAUUUAAAUGGUCAGUUGGAGGGAAAAAAAUUAGCAAAACGUAGGCUCUUUUAAGGGGCCUAUUUUCAUGUCCGAAGUUUAUUUCGGUUCGACUUACUUACCCCUUGCACGCACGUAGAAAAAACCUUUAUACUACACAUGAUCACACCCUUCCAAAGUGCAAUCUUAUAUAAAAUGGUAUUUGCUUUCAUUGUUUUCCUAUGUGGGAUAACCUUAAUAGUUUUCCUUCAACACAUAAACUUCUUUCAAUUAGCAUAUUUUGAGCUCCAAUUUCUCAUUCACCCGAACAUCAUUUUUUGCAAGUAAAUAUAUGAUUUUGAUGUUUACACGAAGGAGAAUACAAAUCAAUCUUGAACUUCCAAAUUAAACAACCAGGUCCCUCUCAAAUUUAUUAGCCACUUAACCAAUUUUUCCUACAAUCCCCACAUGAAUGAAAAUUAGGAGAGACACAAGACCAUGAAACAGAAGACUUGGUGAUAAAUUUCAAUGGUUGAAACUUGCAUAUGAUAGGUUGGUAUUACCCUUUGAACAUUCCCUUGUAAAAGUAUAGUUACCUUACUGGCUGACCAGUAGACGCGUGUCGUUGAACUGUUCUACCGUUUGUAUAAGCGAUGAUCUACUCCACACAGGAUUCUUACUAACACAAUUCAGUUCUCAUCAUUAUGUUUGUUUUGGCCUUGAACAUACACAUUAUUCUAUGAGAGUUCCUAAGAAUUGAGCUCCACACAAUUCUCUUAGAAGCGGCCCCACCUCUCUCUUACAUAGGUGAUUUCUCAUAACAAAUAACCCACAUUACUUGUCUCAACUUUCAAUGCAUAAGAAUCAUUAAAAGCCUAUUGCUUAUCCUUCAUCCUUAUGGGCAUCACUGUUACAUCAUAGGCAUGGAUAGGAGGUAACAUUCCCCACAAUGAUUUAAUUAAGUUUUUACAAUUAGGUUGUCCCUUUGAAUCUAGAUCUUGGGAUCUCCAGUUAACUAGGUUGACUUUCCUUUGUAAGAACUUAUCGUUCAAGGGUUUAAGUUUCAUUCCUUUCUAUGAGUUCCCAACUAACUCUCUAUUUAACCGGAUUUAUAAUGUUAUCUUUUGACCUCAUAUGGUUAAUAGUGAUGACUCUAGUUAAGAGAAGUUGUCUUAUGGUAUUGUGUCUAAGACGUUUAUAUCUAGACUUAUCAUUAUACAUGUUACUCUGUGUCUUUCCAAUUGUUGAUUGACUGUCACAAUAUAUGUAAAUUGGUAGCACAAGUUUUGACCAAUUUGGAAUAUCCUCUAAGAAGUUGCGCAACCACUUGGCCUUUUAACAACAUUUAUCUAAAGUUAUAAAUUCAGAUUUCAUAGUAGAUCUGGUUAUAACUGUUUGUUUAGAAGAUUUUCAAGAUAUGGCAGGACCUCCCAAUGUGAACACGAAUCCACCAGUGGACUUUGAGUCUUUUAUAUCGGAUAUCCAAUUAACAUCACUAUAUCCUUCAAUGAACGUCAGAUAUCUGGUAUAGUGUAGUCCAAAAUUACGAGUAUAUCUUAAGUACCUCAGUACUCUUACUAUUCAUUUUCAGUGAUCAGCUUCUGGAUUACUCGUAUAUCUACUAGUUUACAGACUGUGUAGGCUAUGUUUGGUCUUGUACAACCCAUCAAGUACAUUAGACUUCCAAUAAUUUUCGAGUAUUCUACUUGAGAAAUACUUUCACCUUUGUUUUUAGAUAGAUGAUGAUUUGUAUCUAUCAGUGUUCUAGCCAAACCAGUAUUAUCCUUAUUGAACUUUUCUAAAAUUUUGUCCACCUAAUGUGAUUGACUUUAGAACAAGCUCAUUUAAUGUUCUUGAAUUUUUUAUUCCAAGUAAAAUAUCAACUAAACUCAUAUCUUUCAUGUCAAAUCUCGAAUUUAACAUAUCUUUAGUGGAUUUAAUCAUCUUAUUGUCACUAUAAACAAUAAGCAUGACAUCAACAAAAAGGUAUAAAAUGAUAUAACCAUUUUCUGUGCCUUUGACGUUAACACAUUUAUCACACUCAUUUAUUUUAAAUCUAUACUCUAUCAUAACAUUAUCAAUUUUUUCAUGCUGUUGUUUGGGUGUUUGUUUCAAUUCAUAUAAUGACUUCAUCAAUUUAUAGACUUUCUUUUCCUGUCCUGGUGAUGAACACCUCUUGGGUUGUUCCAUAUAGAUUUCUUCCUCUAAAUAUCUAUUUAAAAAAGCAUUUUUAACAUCUAUCCGAUGUACUUCAAGAUUUCACAAAACAGCAAUUGCAAGUAUCAUCCUAAUAUAUGUUAUUUUCGUCACUGGAGAAUAUGUAUCAAGGUAAUCAAGACCUUUGUUUGUAACCUUUUAUUACUAAUCUGACCUUAUACUUUUCGAUAGUUCCAUCUGCUUCCAUUUUCUUUUUGAAAAUCUAUUUGUAGCCUAAUGAUUUGCUUCCUGGAGGAAAUCCAUUAGCUCCCAUGUAUAGUUUUGUAAUAUGAAAUCUAUUUCACUUUUAAUGACAUCUUUCCAUUGAGGUCCUUCUGAAGAAUUCACAACUUCUUGAUAACUUUAAUGUUCACUUUCUAGCGUAUAGGUCAGAAAAUUAUGACCAUAAGAUUUUUCUGUCAUUUUCUGUUUGCUAUGUCUAAUCUCAAUCUCUUUUUCUAGUUCUUGGUCCUAACUAUUUUCAAUCAUAGUCUUAUAUGUUCGUUUAAAGGAGCUUGCUUCCUCUUUGAACUUGUACAAAAAUACAUGUUCAAAGAAUGAAGCAUGUCUUGAUUCCAAUAUCGUUUAGAGGAUUUUCGGCUCUUGAAAAGGAAAUCGAUAAGCACCAUUGUUAUGUGCUUAACCAAUGAAGAUGCAAUCUACAGUUUUCGAGCCUAUCUUUACCUUCUUUGAUAUUGGAACAGCCACUUUAGCAAGACACUUCCACACCCGUAACUAUUUAUAGAAAAACUUUCUUCUUUUUUAUAACUCAUAAGGGAUCUUUUCCAUUUUCUUUCGGGACACCUUAUUUAAAAGGUAAUUUGUUGAUAACAUAGCUUCCCCCACAUGUUCUAAGGUAACCCAAAAUUUACUAGUAUUGCAUUCAUCAUUUCUUUUAAGAUACGAUUUUUCCAUUUAGUAACACCAUUUUGUUGCAAAGAAUAAGGUGUUGUGGUUUCAUGUAUGAUUCCAUGUUGUACACAGAAUUCAGCAAAUGAUGCUUCUACUCACUACCACGAUCACUUCACAACACUUUUAAUUUCUUGUUAAGUUGAUUUUCAACUUCAUUUUUAUAGAGAACAAAUUUCUCUAUGGCUUCGUCCUUAUUUUUAAGUAGAUACACAUAACAAUAUUUUGUGCUAUCGUCGACAAAAGUAAUGAAAUACUUGUUGCCACCUCUUGUUUAUACAAAUUUUAAAUCACAUAUAUCGCUAUGAAUUAAAUCAAGUGAUUCUAUAUUCCCUUCAACUGAUUUAAAUGAUGAUCUUGCUAAUUUUGUCUCAAUACUAGUUUUGCACUUAUGGUUGGAAUUAAUGCAAAAUGUAGGUGUACAUUUCAAGUUAACUAGUUUACGUAGAGUGUCAUAGUUAACAUGCCCUAAUCAAUUAUGCCUAAUCAAUUAUGCCACACGUUGAAAGACUUAAGCAAGUAAGUAGAAAAGUUUAUUUUAUUCAUUUUUGGCUUAACAAUCAUAACAUUCAGUUUAAACAUACUAUCAAAAAUAUAACCGUUUCCUACAAAUAUUCCACCUUUUGAUAAAAUAACUUUGUCUGACUCAACUACAAUACGAAAAUCAUGCUUAUUCAAAAGUGAUCCGAACACAAGGUUUUUGCGAAUUUUCGGCACAUACAGCACUUUGUUAAGAGUUAGCUCCUUUCCUAACAUCAUCUUUAAAACCGCCUUCCCUUGACCCUUGAUUUCAGGUUUGCUGAAAUUUCCAUGAAGAACUUCUCUCCAUUCUCAAUUGUUUCGAAUACAGCAAACAACUCUUUAUCAGAGCACACAUGUCGUAUAGCACCGGCGUCAAUCAACCACUCUUUUGGGUUAGAACCCAACAUGCUCACUUCAGAAAUGAGUGCUGCGAGAUUCAUUUUCGACACAUCAUGUGUCAUGUUGUCAACCACAUUUGCUUAUUUUUUAUUAUUCUUUUUUGACAAUCUGCACUCCGAAAACUUGUGGCCUACUUUGUCAUAAUUGAAGUAUUUUCCUUGAAAUUUCUUUUUAGAAAUAACCCAUUUCGAUCCUAGCUUAGUACCUUUGCCACCGGAUAUCCUAGGCUUGUUCUCUAAAGUCUUAAAACUUUGACCGUGCUCGGCAACAUUGCCUUUAGCCACAAUAGAAUUGAGCCCCUUCUUUUCUGAACUUCUGUUGUCUUCUUCAAUUCAAAGACUAACAAUUAGUUCUUCGACAUUCAUUUCCUUUUGUUUGUGUUUAAGGUAAUUCUUGAAAUCUUUCCAUGUGGGGGCGAUUUUUCAAUAAUGGCAGUUACUUGGAAGGUUUUACUCAAAAUCAUCCUUUCGACAUGAAUCCUUGGAGUUCUUACACCUGACUGAUUACUGUUUUGGAGUCUACCAUCUUAUAGUCCAAGAAUUAGUUAACAAUGAAUUUCUUAACUUCGGCAUCCUCAGUCAUAUAUUUUCGAUCCAAUGAUUCCCAUAGCUUUAUAGCAGUUUUCAAAAUACUAUACACGUUGUAUAGCGAGUCUGCUAAGCUAUUCAUAAUGUAGUUUCGGUAUAGAAAAUUCGAGUGUUUCCACGCAUCAAGUACCAUGAUUGUUUGAACAUCUCCCUCACCCUCAUUGAAUUUUAGAGCAGUUUCGGUCAUGAAUCUCGCAAAAUUCAAGGUGGUUGAGUAAAAUAGCAUUUUCUGCUGCCAUCUCUUGAAAUUUAAGCCAUUGAAUUUCUUCAAUUUUUCUCCAUGAUUAACCGGAACAGUAACAGUAUGGCUAGUUGCUAAGAUUUGAUUCAUAAUUACGCUUUUAUUGAAUAUUUGAUUCAUAAUUACACAAAAUUCAAGGUGGUCGGGUUAACAUAAAAUUGCUAGCUUGGUUUUCUGAAAUAAAGGCUGAAUCAAACUAUGUAAAUGUAAUACAUAAUGAAAUUGUUCCUUUACUGAUGGCAAAUCUGGAACUUGGCCACUAACAGAUGCAAUUGAGAUGCACUUCAGCUUGUUGAGUUUAGGCAAGUUGGAUGCCGGAUGAGAAGCAAUUGUUUUAGUUGUUUCCUUUCCAACGAUGGAAUCUACUCAUUGACACAGAAGUCCAUUGUUUCCGAAAAGAGAAGAGGAUUCUCAGAUACUAUGGACGGAUUUUUUGAAAUAAGAAUUUUGUUUUUACUGAAGGAAAGUGGAUGUUCAAUGCUACUGGUUCUGACUCUACAGCUGUUCAAUCUGUUGUGGAGGCAAAGUUAUCUAGCAAUAUCAAAAUAAAUGUGAUUCUCUCCAAUAAUUCAUCUAGGGCUCAAGUCAUCCAUGGAGAAAAAGGUGUCUCUUUCUAGGCUCAGUUAGACCAGUGACUCUGGAACUACUCAAUCAUGUAUUAAUCACAUGGGAAGCACUGAAGAUAUUUCUAGGUAGUUAGUUAAUGAGUUUCACAUAUUAUUUUUCAACUUCUUUUUUUUUUUUUUUGGUAUUUAUGAAGAUUUCCAAUAUAAUUUCAUGCAUAAAAUUUAUGAAUUUUAUCAAAUAAGUGGAAGCAUCAACUAAUCAAAGUACCGACAAGCAGAUGCUUAUAUAUAAUCUUGAUGAAGACAUCUACUUUUUAUUUAUUUUUAAUUGGACUUUAUUUAUAUUUUAGAUUUUAUUUAUGUAAUUGUGCUUGUGUUGGCCCAAGUCCAUUCUAUUUAGAGUUUUAGUCUUUACUAUUUAAACCUAAUUACGAUGUAAUUUCGUUAGUUUUGAUGAAUUGAAGAACAUUUUGGUGGUUUGUUGCCUAUGGCUUCUCCUUCCUCUCCCUCUCCCCCAUAAAUUUAUGCUUCUUCUCUAGUUUCUCCCCCCAUUCUCUCCGGUUCUCCCCUUUUCUUGCUUCUUCUUUCUAUUUUUUAAUUCGUCCUGCAUCAAAUUUGGUAUUAGAGCCUAAACUUGGAUAAUUUCUCAUCUCCAAUCCAAAAUCUCUUCAUAUUUCUUUCCCAAGAACUUGUGGAACAGUAUAAACAAAUAAACUUUUAGCAUAAGCAGUCAAGUUAUUAUUUUUCCAGCUUCUUCAUAGUUGUUCCUCAAAAAAAAAAAAGUUACUGUUCAUCGCGGGUACUGUACACCCAGAAUUUCAAUUUAGUAUUUUGGUCAGUUUCUUUUAAAAAAAAAAAAAAAACUGUUCACGGGUACUGUUCACGCCAAAAAAAAAAAAAUCUCAUCUUUUUUUUUCCUCCUACUGCUGCUCAUAAAUUUAAAAAAAAAAUUGUGGUGGUGUUCCACAAAUCUCAAACUCUAGCAUUCAAGCCCAUUUAGCCCAAUUAACCCAGCCUACUCUCUACGACCCAGGCCCACUCCCCAAACACUAACCCCAGCUGGCCUAUCUCUAUAACAGGAUCCAAACCCCUUCCCAUCUGGCCCAGUCCCAAAUAUCCAACCAAGCCCGAUUAUAACCAAUCCAUUAAUAUCAAAUACCCCAGAGUUUCACCCGAUUUCUCUCUCACAGCCACUCUCUUGCCGCUGCCGCCUCUAAUCACCAUCACGCCACCAUUUCAUUAUCUAUUGUACCCAGGCAUCCAGAGCACUACCGCUUCAUCACCAUAGGUCACCACCACCAACCCAAGAUCAUUAACUUCCACCACAAUUACCACACUCAUAUAUUUUCUCGUCCAUCUCAACAAUCUAAAAGCCACAGUCACCACACACAAUUUUACAUCCACACCAGAACCAGCACAAGUUACAGUCAACAUGGGCUAAAAUCAUUGGACAAGAAGGGAAGAACAGAAGCAUAGUUAGGGCUCAUAAGUCGGCAAUUCAGAUCAAUUGGCAUACAAAUAAUCAAAACUAAAUAACAGGGAGUCCUUGAUCUCUAUUUUGUAUUGGUUUAUAAUGCUGCUUCAUUUUUAAAAUUGCAUCAAUUAAAAUCUUGUGCUGCUGUUAUCAUGAUAAUUUUAGCCUUAAACCCUACUUGAUCGAAACCAUUAAUCGAAUUGACACCAGUGACCGAAUUGACAUCCAUUGUUCCCCACUUAACUUGAUUGGAGAAUUUGACUAGUAUGUUGGCCCUUGCUUUGCCAUUUUACAUGUACCAGCAGUAUUAGCUUGUUUUGGAUUUAAUUAAUCCCAAUAUUUAAAAUUAAAUAAUAAUAAAAAAUUGGUACAAGUUAUUUUUCAUUGCUUGCACGUAUUGUUCACUGAUCUCAUCAUAGCACAUCAUUUAGCUGGUAUUACAUUGCAUGUAGUUGCGUAGUGGUCGUCUUGUCGUCUCUAUUUCCAAUACAUCGACCAUGGAUCCAUCCCAAUUUGAUGCACUUACUAGACAAUUAGCACAACUUGCCACUAGCCUAUCGACUGUCCAAUCAGAUAUAACUGCUACUCGUGAGGAGAGAAAGACCCUAGCUACUAAGUUGAGCAAUUUUAAGCGAACCCCUCAUUUGACUGACACUAAUUCUAAAGCGUCUCAUAAUAGACAAUAUCAUCGUGAACAAAGUGAUCAAGAAUAUUUUCGACGCGAUCGUAGGAAUAGGGAUCAGGUUCGUGAGCGAGAACAAGACCAUGGUCAUCAUCGUACUCAUUCUCUUCCUCGUCGUAAUGAGCGUUUCUUUAGAGAUAUUGACUUAGAUAUUCCUACUUUCGAUGAUUGCUUAGAUCAUGAAAUUUUUAUCCAAUGGAACACCCUUACACAAGAGAAUCGGCUAGUAACUGAGUACAUUACUCAAUUUGAGGAAUUUCUAGUGAAAUGUCAUGUCGUUGAGGAUGAGGCCCUGAUUUUAAGUAGGUUUAUACAAGGUCUACGAGAUGAACUUAGGCGUGAGCUUUUCUUUCGAGGCAUCACUACUUUUGAUCAAGCUUACUCUUCAGCUCGGGACUACGAGUUACUUAUUAGUACUACAUAUGAAAAGCGUGAUCACCAUCGUUCACCCAUCUCAUUAGUGUCAUCUCAUUAUAAGUCUAUCAUAGAGCCUUCCCAGUCUAGUGUUCCUUCCCUUUGGAAAAACAAGUGUAAAGGUCGUGAUAGCCCAAAGUCAUCUUCUUCAUGUAGUAAGCGUAAUGACAAUCAUCCAUCGGUUUCAUUGGCUCCACUUCCUCCUGUUAAGUCCCUUCUAGGACCUCCCCCGUCUAAUGUUCCUCCAAUUUUGAAAAAUAAGGGUAUAAUUUUUGAAACUUUAAAGACUUCUCACUUGCUAUGCAUCAGCUGUAAAGACUUUGGCCACAUCUCUUCCAAAUGUCCUAACUGAGCCUUAGUCAUAGAAGAACGAAAGAAUGCAAUAGAAGAGUCGUUAGAAGAUCUAGCAUAUGACCCUAAACUUGAAGAUUUUGAUGAUGAUAGAAUGUGAUGGAAGGGCAAUGAUAUGUGCAUAUGGACCAACAUACUUUAAAACUUUAAAAGUAUCAGCACUACUGGCUUGCAAUAUAACAUAAUCCCCAAUAUUAAAUUCAAAAUAUUGUUUAUGCAAUGUAGCUUGAGGUUUAUAUAAAGCAUUACUUGCGUCAUGUUGUUUAUUGAUCUCAAAAUGCAAGUUAUAAAAAUGUGAUACAACUACCUCAACUGACAUAAACGCACUAGCAUGUGGGUACAUGGGAAUAAGGUCUAAAGGUUUCCUAGGUUCACAACCAUGAAUAACUUCAAAGGAAUUUAGACCUAAAGACUAGUUUACAGGAUUGUUAUAUGUAGUUUGAACAGUUGGAGGAAUCAAGUCCCAAUUCCCAAGAUUUUUUUGGACUAGAGACUUGAAUAAACUGCUAAGACUUUGGUUAACAACUUCAUUUUGACCAUCAGCCUGAGGUUGGUCUGCAGUGGAGAAUUUCGAUUUAGUGCUAACCAUAGGCAACUAGGUUUUUUCAAAGUGACUAGGGAAAUCAUGGGAUACAGAAUCUGGAGUCCCAAGAAGAGCCUGGAUGCCACCUAAAGAGGCUACCACUCUGCUUUAAAUAUUGAGGACUUUGUGACUUACAAACACCAUGUUACUUCCUUUGAUGAUCUAUUUGUACUUAGCUUUAUGGACCCCCCAACUUAACUAUGUCGAUAUUUCUACUUCAAUACCAUCUAUCACAGCACACAAAGAUAAAAUUGAUGUUAUUUUUGAUGAACGUGUUGUAUUGACCAAUGAUGGCAAGAUUCGGUACUUCCUUGUUUGUUGGGUAGAUCGACGUGCUUCUUAUGCUCCUCUUUAUAUACACUUAUGUGAAAAUCUUGAAAAUGAGGUGCAUGAGUAUUGGUUAUUUGGAGUCCAGUAUCAGUACUUGAUUAGAAGGAAAGAUCGCCCCCCUUGAUCAGAUCAUAUUCUUGGGAAUAAGCUACAGUUUUCAGUACUAUCAAUAAUGAAAUUUCGUUACUUGGUUCGUUAGAAAGAUCGCCCCCCAUGGCUUGACUUGACGCAUUUGGAGUAUCAGAUUGACUGCAGCCUAUACUAUCUAUCAACUCGACGCGGUCGAGUUUUUCUCCCACCCCGGGAGAGUUGAUGAGGACAUCUACUUUUUAUUUAUUUUUAGUUGGACUUUAUUUAUAUUUUAGAUUUUAUUUAUGUAAUUGGGCCUGUGUUGGCCCAAGCCCAUUCUACUUAGGGUUUUAGUCUUUACUAUUUAAACCUAAUUACGAUGUAAUUUUGUUAGUUUUGAUGAAUUGAAGAAUAUUUUGGUGGUUUGUUGCCUAUGGCUUCUCCUUCCUCUCCCUCCCCCUCUCCCCCAUGAACUUCUGCUUCUUCUCCGAUUUCUCCCCCCAUUGUCUCCGGUUCUCCCCUCUUUUCUUCUUUCUAUUUUUUAAUUCGUCCUGCAUCAAAUCUUCCUCCGAAGAUCCUUUGCCAUGUGUGGUUAAUGUUUUAUUGAAGGUAAUUUUAUUGUUUGAGAUUCAAGCUUUUAAUUUUUAAUCCCAUCCAUAUGUUUUUGGGGAUUGUUUGUCAAUCCUCUGCUAAACUAUAAUUUAUCAAACCUUUUCAUUUUUCAAUUUUUAAUCUGUCAUAUGUUUUGAUUUGACUUUUUUUGUAUUGUCGUCUGAAAGGCUGAACCAGAGAUUAAGCAAGUAGAUACCGAUAUAUUUUGAUCCUAUUUUGGCUUGUAUCUAGCAACAUGUAAUGCACAACAGUGUAAGCUAUCUUUUAUGAAUGUUGUUGUAGUCAUAUUUUGAAUGAAUUGCUAUUAAUAGAGUAUUUCAUUUGUGCAAAGGCUUUAAUGAUGCUAUUAAUUAACCACUUCAAUGAUGAUGGUUGGUCAUAUUGAACUCUGACAGGCAUGAUGUAGUAAUCACCAUCAACUCCUCCUCCAAAAGCCAGAGUAUUAGAUCAGUCAGAAUGUCUCCUAAGGCUCUUUACAUUACUACUAGGAAGUCACCUUUUGGUGAAAUUAUUACUUCCGGCACGAGGCUAAUAACAUACUUCUCUUAACAUGUAAAUAUCCUUAAUAUGGUGUGCUUCUUGGCAAAAUGAUGAUGCGUACAAACUUUUGAAGCUGUGAUUCUUUAAUGGUUGUGUAAUAUAGGUAGGUCUAUCAAUUACUUGGUAUAG
This 11788-nucleotide long non-coding RNA is filed under the name Olea europaea subsp. europaea. Lineage: Eukaryota; Viridiplantae; Streptophyta; Magnoliopsida; Lamiales; Oleaceae. The record is from RNAcentral.